RNAcentral lists this ribosomal RNA (459 nucleotides) under uncultured bacterium. RNAcentral describes it as "partial 16S ribosomal RNA". It matches the Rfam family "Bacterial small subunit ribosomal RNA", at positions 338 to 795 of the family's 1533-position model. The record is from RNAcentral.
CCUACGGGUGGCUGCAGUGAGGAAUAUUGGUCAAUGUCCGGAAGGCUGAACCCGCCAUGCCGCGUGAAGGUCAGUGCCCUAUGGGUUGUAAACUUCUUUUAUAAAGGAAUAAAACGAGGCACGUGUGCCUUUUUGCAUGUACUUUAUGAAUAAGGAUCGGCUAACUCCGUGCCAGCAGCCGCGGUAAUACGGAGGAUCCGAGCGUUAUCCGGAUUUAUUGGGUUUAAAGGGAGCGUAGAUGGGUUGUUAAGUCAGUUGUGAAAGUUUGCGGCUCAACCGUAAAAUUGCAGUUGAAACUGGCAGUCUUGAGUACAGUAGAGGUGGGCGGAAUUCGUGGUGUAGCGGUGAAAUGCUUAGAUAUCACGAAGAACUCCGAUUGCGAAGGCAGCUCACUGGACUGCAACUGACACUGAUGCUCGAAAGUGUGGGUAUCAAACAGGAUUAGAUACCCUAGUAGUC